This 253-nucleotide ribosomal RNA is filed under the name uncultured bacterium. RNAcentral describes it as "partial 16S ribosomal RNA". It matches the Rfam family "Bacterial small subunit ribosomal RNA", at positions 524 to 776 of the family's 1533-position model. The record is from RNAcentral.
UACAGAGGCCUCGAGCGUUAAUCGGAGUCACUGGGCUUAAAGGGUGCGUAGGCGGUCCCGCAAGUGCUUUGUGAAAUCCCAUGGCUCAACCAUGGAAUUGCUUGGCAGACUGCGGGACUUGAGGUCGGUAGAGGUCGCUGGAACUCUAGGUGGAGCGGUGAAAUGCGUAGAUAUCUAGAGGAACGCCGAUGGUGAAGACAGGCGACUGGGCCGAUUCUGACGCUGAGGCACGAAAGCGUGGGGAGCAAACGGG